AGAAUUUUAUAUUAACUUUACCUAGCGGUUAAUGCUGGUUUUUUGUUAAUAUUUGGUUGGGAGGAUUAUUAAAUUUAACAAACUUUAUAUCAUUAUAAACUUUGAUUUAAGAAAAUAUAAUGAUCUUCAAUUUGAAAUAGUUAGAGUAAAUUACCUUAGGGAUAACAGCGUAAUAUUUUUUUAUAGACCUUAUAGAAAAAAAUGGUUGCGACCUCGAUGUUGAAUUAAGAUAAAUUUUAAAUGCAGGAGUUUAAUAAUUAAG
This 262-nucleotide ribosomal RNA is filed under the name Lepidotrigona ventralis. RNAcentral's name for it is "partial large subunit ribosomal RNA". Lineage: Eukaryota; Metazoa; Arthropoda; Insecta; Hymenoptera; Apidae. The record is from RNAcentral.